Molecule: long non-coding RNA, 258 nt
Filed under: Phoenix dactylifera (date palm)
Lineage: Eukaryota; Viridiplantae; Streptophyta; Magnoliopsida; Arecales; Arecaceae
Description: long non-coding RNA (PDAC_LNC018679)
Source: RNAcentral
UAAGAGAAGGUGUUUCCGAUGCCCAAUAAUUCGUCUUCCAGGAGGAAAGGGAGAAAAACAAAAAAGGGAGGAAACAACAAUGUAAAAAGAAAAAAUGGCACAGCCAAAUAUUGAUAAUAAGGGAAAACAAGAUACUCAACAGGAGCCAUAUAUAUAUAUAUUCCUGUAAGCUUUUUAUUCCAUUGUUCAGAUCAUCCUCGGACUAUUGCUUCAUGCUGUAGGGAAAGAAAAGAAACUCAACUUGCAAUUCAUACAUUC